This 477-nucleotide long non-coding RNA is filed under the name Struthio camelus australis. RNAcentral's name for it is "lncRNA (ENSSCUG00000011248.1)". Lineage: Eukaryota; Metazoa; Chordata; Aves; Struthioniformes; Struthionidae. The record is from RNAcentral.
CUAGUGCUUAGUAUUUGAACACCUGCUUCCAUCUCCUCUUCUGGCAUAGCUGUUUGAACAGAGGAGAGUCUUCUCAAACAUCUCAAGAUGGAAGGAACAUAAGCAGCUUCCCCAGUGGUAUAACCUGCUGUUGCCUCUUUUAUCAUUGCCUGUUAUUCUUUGUGGAAAUUGCGUGCAGUGAGUGCAUGAGAAGGACUAGAAUUGAAGAUCAGCAGUUUCUGCAUGUGUCAAGGAGGAGACACAUAUCCAGCCUUUUCUUACCUGCAACUACAGAUCUGAAGAAAGGCAUGAUAGCAGAUAAGGUGUGUUGACAGACAGAAUAGGCCCUAUGGCAAAUUGCCCAUCAGACCUGAGGCAUUUGGCUGACAGCCCAGGGUGAAGAAAGAAAUAAGGAGGAGAGAACAAGAGACUGACUGAAGUAGGAAAACUAGAGAAGAGAAGGGUGAGCAUGGCGGAGGUGAAGGACAGAAAGUUGGC